AUUGAACGCUGGCGGCAGGCUUAACACAUGCAAGUCGAGCGGAGAUGAGGUGCUUGCACCUUAUCUUAGCGGCGGACGGGUGAGUAAUGCUUAGGAAUCUGCCUAUUAGUGGGGGACAACAUUCCGAAAGGAAUGCUAAUACCGCAUACGCCCUACGGGGGAAAGCAGGGGAUCUUCGGACCUUGCGCUAAUAGAUGAGCCUAAGUCGGAUUAGCUAGUUGGUGGGGUAAAGGCCUACAAAGGCGACGAUCUGUAGCGGGUCUGAGAGGAUGAUCCGCCACACUGGGACGGAGACACGGCCCAGACUCCUACGGGAGGCAGCAGUGGGGAAUAUUGGACAAUGGGCGGAAGCCUGAUCCAGCCAUGCCGCGUGUGUGAAGAAGGCCUUUUGGUUGUAAAGCACUUUAAGCGAGGAGGAGGCUACUUAGAUUAAUACUCUGGGAUAGUGGACGUUACUCGCAGAAUAAGCACCGGCUAACUCUGUGCCAGCCGCCGCGGUAA
This 501-nucleotide ribosomal RNA is filed under the name uncultured bacterium. RNAcentral's name for it is "partial 16S ribosomal RNA". It matches the Rfam family "Bacterial small subunit ribosomal RNA", at positions 30 to 523 of the family's 1533-position model. The record is from RNAcentral.